AGACGUGUUGGGUGGAUGUAAGGUGCAUGUCAGGCGUCUCCCUUUUCAGCGCUGUGAAGCAUGUCUCAUCACAAGGCCCAGCAACUUUACAAUGAGCGAAUGAUGGCACAGAGAAAGAUGAGCAUCGUUUGGACCAGUUUUACAGCUGUAAAUGAAAUAUUGCAAUCUGUGCAAUGACAGCAUUUGCUACUGUGGCGACACUACCAAUUUAUUUAAACUGAGCAAAGAGGAGGGAAAUCCCAUGACACAGAGGCAGAGCUCACUGACACAGUAAUUUCAGAGAGGAGCAUAUCCAGAUGUUUCACCAAAAGAUAUGGAGAUUACAGAGAACUCUACUGAAAUGACAACAAAGGAC
Long non-coding RNA from Nematolebias whitei (Rio pearlfish), 355 nucleotides. RefSeq lists it as uncharacterized. Lineage: Eukaryota; Metazoa; Chordata; Actinopteri; Cyprinodontiformes; Rivulidae. The transcript is spliced from 3 exons. The record is from RefSeq and is a predicted model, not a curated record.